Cyprinus carpio carpio is the source of this 2479-nucleotide long non-coding RNA. NCBI's taxonomy places the organism in Eukaryota, Metazoa, Chordata, Actinopteri, Cypriniformes, Cyprinidae. The record is from Ensembl.
UUUUGCUUUAAAUGAAUGAUUAAUGUCAUGGUGUAAAGAACAGAAACUGCUCUUUGUUAAUAAUUGGAAUUUUUCUGGGAGCGUCCUAGGCUUUUUCACGCUGAUGGCCUGCACCCAAGCAGCAGAACUCUUCUCUGACAACAUCUCCAGGACUCUACACUCCAUAUGACUAAGAGAAGAGCGGCACCACCCCAGGAGGGAUGAAGACCAUCUCUUUUCAACAGGUAAGGUCUGCCCCAAAAGCUUGUCCAAUUGUCUAUGAAACCUAUGUUAUUCUGCAGGCACCACUUAGACAUCCAGCCAUUGAGUGAUGACAAUCUGCUAUGCAUCUCAUCACCACGGUAAGCAGGGAGGGGACCAGAGCAUAUUACAGUGUCUGACAUCAUGCUUGCAAGUUCACACACCUCUUUAAUGUUAUUUUUAGUGAUCUCCGACUGGUGAAGUCGAACAUCAUUAGCACCGGCGUGAAUAACAAUCUUACUGUAUUUACGUUUAGCAUUAGCCAGCACUUUUAAAUUUGCUAAGAUGUCAGGCGCUCUGGCUCCCGGUAAACAUUGGACUAUGGUGGCUGGUGUCUCUAUUUUCACGUUCCGUACAAUAGAAUCGCCAAUAACUAGAGCACUUUCAUCAGGUUUCUCAGUGGGUGCUUCACUGAGUGGGGGGAACCUGUUUAAUGUUUUGAUCAGAACAGAAGAGUGGUGUUUAGACCCACAACUAUGCCGUCUCACAGUCACCCAGUUGCAUGCAAAAGGCCCUGUUACUGGAACCAAACAAUGUACAGGACUCCCUGAGCUAGACGCAUCCAAAGCCUUAUCUAGAGCCCUCACAUUCUUACUGUCGUCAAUUAAAGUUUGGAUGCGUGUCUUGAAUUCUGAAAUCUUCUCUGUCAGCCUAACUAUUUCUCCACAAUUUCUUGAUGCUGGAAUAUCUGAAGAAAGGCAGAGAAUAGCGGCUCGCAAGGUUUGUAAAAUCUGGAAGCUGGAGUCCUUCCUAGAGUUGCAAAAGCUCAUCCACCAGGGGCUCCAGAAAAUAAUUUACAUGAAGGUUUGGCUAAUUUGGGCCAGGUAUUAGUCCAAUGAUAAUCAUGUUUUCCUCCUUGAAACGUUUGCGAGGUAAGUUUAGUACUACCAUGUAUAUAACACCCACAGAGUACUCACUAUAUUUAUAUGGUGGGUACCAGUCAAUGUUCAUCAUAAGAGCCAAAUUGUUGGGUGCUCCAAGAAAAGGUAUACCAUUCUGAUACUGAAACUCCUUCCAAAUCCUUCCAUCAAAAACAUCUCCCAAAACUCGAAAAAAUCUCGAUGUCUCCACUCCUCGCACAUUUGAAGAAAUCCUUGUCGACAUAUCAAAGACUUGAGGGACUCGAUUAAACUUCGGUAACAGUAUGAACGUAUGGGGUACAGAAACUCAUUCUGAUUAGGACAUACGAUUUUCUUCAUUAGAGUGGCACCGCAUUUUUUUUUGUAGAAUAUUUAUGAGGAUGAUUGUGAAAAGGAACAUACUGACACUUGUUGGAAACCUUGGUGCCAUUUCGUUCAGUGUGGAAGGACUCUUCCAGAGUGUUACAUCAUAUAUUUGACAAUUAUGAAUACAUUAUUGUAUUUUAAAUGGUAGAAAAACCUCUUUUUGACCUUAUAAAAAAUGCACUUUUCCUCUGUACAUGGCUGUGGGGACAAGUAGUUUUGAGGUGCUUGGAAUUCUAUAUAAUUAAUUUUAAAAAAAUAUUGCCACAUUGGUGGCUCAGGAAGGUGUAAUUGUUCAAAUAACAUAUUGUUUCAUGUUAAAAUAAAAAGAAAUUGUAACCCUAAAAUGUUUUUCAAGUGCAAAAUUUCUGUAAAGGCUAGGGACAGAAAAAUGGAAAUUUUCUUAGAAUGAACCUUCUACAUAGCAUCAUUUGACAAAGGUGCUGAACAGGACCUUUUAAGAUAGGUGCUGUAUAGCACUUAAAGUGGUUCGCCUAUGAUUACAAGCCAAUGAAUCACUUUUAGUGCUAUUUAUCACCAUUUUUGUUUAGAGUGUAUUCUGACAACCCAAACUUAUGAUUCAGUAAGUUAUGAUGGCUUCAAAAGCUUUAAGACCACUUCCCACAAUAUACAAUAAAGCAGUAUAAUUUUUUUUUUAUUCUUAGCUUUAUUCCAUUAAGCAAAUAGAGUACAAACAGUGCUUUUAAAUGAUGACAUUUGAAAGCAAUAAAAUAAUGAGUCAACAAAAAUAAAUUAGUAUGGGUAAAAAAUAUUUAAAAAAAUAGACAGAAUACAAAUUGACAGAGUAGAGAUUAGACAAUGCGUGACGUAUUGACGAGAUGACGUAUUAUAAAUAUUACUUAUAGUAAUAUAGUUUUCUAAAAUUCAGUAUAUGAGCCAUUGUGUUUGUAUGGAAGCCAAAAAUUAUGUCUUUGGGGUGGAAAAGUCUUGCAUAAUAAAAAAAAAAUCAUACAGGAGUGGAACAACAUGAAGAUGAGUAAAUUAUUACUUAGUUC